CGUGAGUGAUGAAGGCCCUAGGGUUGUUAAAGCUCUUUCAGCAGGGAAGAUAAUGACGGUACCUGCAGAAGAAGCCCCGGCUAACUCCGUGC
This 92-nucleotide ribosomal RNA is filed under the name uncultured bacterium. RNAcentral's name for it is "partial 16S ribosomal RNA". It matches the Rfam family "Bacterial small subunit ribosomal RNA", at positions 400 to 508 of the family's 1533-position model. The record is from RNAcentral.